Molecule: long non-coding RNA, 330 nt
Organism: Gorilla gorilla gorilla (western lowland gorilla)
Lineage: Eukaryota; Metazoa; Chordata; Mammalia; Primates; Hominidae
Product: long intergenic non-protein coding RNA 2911
Exons: 4
Source: RefSeq, a predicted model, not a curated record
GAGAAACAAAGCUAAAUCUAGGUGCUGCAAGAAAAGUCACAGCCUUGGGGUUUCAGUGAAGAGACAGCCCAAAUGCUCUUGAAGUAGUCAGAAAAGUCUAUAGGUGUGACUCCCUUAUGCCGCUCUCUCCUGCCAUUUGGGCAACAGCCAACUUCCGAGACCAACCUUGUUUCUGGAGAAGCAUUCUUCCCACAUGGGAAAGGCAAGGAUGGUGCUGAGCCUGUCUGCGUCUGUGUUCCCUGGACAACUCCAUUCCAGUGCAAGAUUCUCAUGGUUGAAUUCAUAGUGGGCUUCUAUGACUUCUGCCUUGCCCUGGAGGUCCAAUACAGG